AUUGAACGCUGGCGGCAGGCCUAACACAUGCAAGUCGAGCGGAUGAAGGGAGCUUGCUCCUGGAUUCAGCGGCGGACGGGUGAGUAAUGCCUAGGAAUCUGCCUGGUAGUGGGGGAUAACGUCCGGAUACGGGCGCUAAUACCGCAUACGUCCUGAGGGAGAAAGUGGGGGAUCUUCGGACCUCACGCUAUCAGAUGAGCCUAGGUCGGAUUAGCUAGUUGGUGGGGUAAAGGCCUACCAAGGCGACGAUCCGUAACUGGUCUGAGAGGAUGAUCAGUCACACUGGAACUGAGACACGGUCCAGACUCCUACGGGGGGCAGCAGUGGGGAAUAUUGGACAAUGGGCGAAAGCCUGAUCCAGCCAUGCCGCGUGUGUGAAGAAGGUCUUCGGAUUGUAAAGCACUUUAAGUUGGGAGGAAGGGCAGUAAGUUAAUACCUUGCUGUUUUGACGUUACCAACAGAAUAAGCACCGGCUAACUUCGUG
This 484-nucleotide ribosomal RNA is filed under the name uncultured bacterium. Its description in RNAcentral is "partial 16S ribosomal RNA". It matches the Rfam family "Bacterial small subunit ribosomal RNA", at positions 30 to 507 of the family's 1533-position model. The record is from RNAcentral.